This 644-nucleotide small RNA is filed under the name Malus domestica (apple). Its description in RNAcentral is "sRNA MD03G0132400". Lineage: Eukaryota; Viridiplantae; Streptophyta; Magnoliopsida; Rosales; Rosaceae. The record is from RNAcentral.
UUUUUCUUACAAAAUUUAUCCUUUACUUUAAUAUCCCUUGCAUAUCGACUGCAAACACAAUAAUAAUUCAACAGUAUGACAAGCAAGAAAAAGAAUCUUCACCAUAUUAUAAAUUUCGUCAACUCAGGUGGCGCUGUAGGAGCCUCAAGCAAGUUCAGCAGUGGAUGCUUUCACUAACUUGAAGAAUCUUCUGAUACCAUCACUGACGACUACCCAUACCUCUCCGAGGGCAUGAGACAGGUAAUUUUUCCAUUCAGUUUUUAUCUAGGUAAUUUUCGUGGCUGCCAUUCUAUGAUGAUGCAGGUAAAAAGUUGAUUUCCUAUUUUUACGGGCUAUAGCUAUUGUUAAUGUUUUGGCGAAGAAGGCUAACAUUCCAAGAAAAAGUAUGUAGAGCUUUUUUUUUUUUACUGUAAAUGCCCCUUUAGAAUUUAUUCAAUACAUGUCGCAUAGCAAUAUACAACUUUGUGUUGUUUUGUAGUGAUCGAUGAACAAAAACCCAGCUUUUGACCAUCUACUGACAUCUGUCUAAAGGUUUGGGUAUAGUCUUAUGUGGAAUUGGCAUGCUAUAACUUUCAAUGUUUAUCAUACAUAACGAAAGAGAAUACGAUUUAUCUAGAAGAUAUGAAAUCAUUCAUUCUAAUUUU